GACUCUCGACAACGGAUAUCUCGGCUCUC
RNAcentral lists this ribosomal RNA (29 nucleotides) under Cornus capitata. RNAcentral's name for it is "partial 5.8S ribosomal RNA". Lineage: Eukaryota; Viridiplantae; Streptophyta; Magnoliopsida; Cornales; Cornaceae. The record is from RNAcentral.